This 484-nucleotide ribosomal RNA is filed under the name uncultured bacterium. RNAcentral's name for it is "bacterial SSU rRNA". It matches the Rfam family "Bacterial small subunit ribosomal RNA", at positions 24 to 507 of the family's 1533-position model. The record is from RNAcentral.
UCAGGACGAACGCUGGCGGCGUGCCUAACACAUGCAAGUCGAACGAAGCUCUGCGAUACAAGACUUCGGUCAAGUUGAACGGAUGACUUAGUGGCGGACGGGUGAGUAACACGUGGGUAACCUGCCUUACAGAGGGGGAUAACAGUUUGAAAAGACUGCUAAUACCGCAUAAGCACACAGUACCGCAUGGUACGGGGUGAAAAGAUUUAUCGCUGUAAGAUGGACCCGCGUCUGAUUAGCUAGUUGGCAGGGUAACGGCCUACCAAGGCGACGAUCAGUAGCCGACCUGAGAGGGUGAUCGGCCACAUUGGGACUGAGACACGGCCCAAACUCCUACGGGAGGCAGCAGUGGGGAAUAUUGCACAAUGGGGGAAACCCUGAUGCAGCGACGCCGCGUGGAGGAAGAAGGUCUUCGGAUUGUAAACUCCUGUUGUCGGGGACGAUAAUGACGGUACCCGACAAGAAAGUGACGGCUAACUACGUG